This 254-nucleotide ribosomal RNA is filed under the name uncultured bacterium. RNAcentral describes it as "partial 16S ribosomal RNA". It matches the Rfam family "Bacterial small subunit ribosomal RNA", at positions 524 to 776 of the family's 1533-position model. The record is from RNAcentral.
GACGUAGGGCGCGAGCGUUGUCCGGAUUUAUUGGGCGUAAAGAGCUCGUAGGCGGCUUGUCGCGUCGACUGUGAAAACCCGUGGCUCAACCAUGUGGUCUGCAGUCGAUACGGGCAGGCUAGAAUUCGGUAGGGGAGACUGGAAUUCCUGGUGUAGCGGUGAAAUGCGCAGAUAUCGGGAGGAACACCGGUGGCGAAGGCGGGUCUCUGGACAGUUCCUGACGCUGAGGCACGAAGGCCAGGGGAGCAAACGGG